CUCAGCCCAUUUUAUGCCCCCUGUUCCUUUGUGUGUCUCUUUUCUCCCAAGCCAUGUAGACAUAGAUUUACAGGCAACAAUGCAUAAAGAUGCAAACAUACAGACACACAACCAUACAGGCACACAGACUUUGUUAUACAAGCACAAAGUUACAAAGUUAUACAGACGUUCAGUCACACAAACAAACAAACAGUCAUACAGGCACACAAUAAUACAAGCUACACAUACAGGUACACUGCCAUACAAACACAGACAUACAGACAUUGUCAAAGAUAGACAUACAGAGAACAUAUGGUAAUUGGGGGGCACACCUGGAACAAACAUUUCUAAGUAGCGGUGCUGCCAUAAAGACCAAAAAUGUUGGUAGUAUGUGAGCUGUUCCCUAAUCUGUAUUAUGUAUACAGAGUCAUACGGACACAGUCAUACAAAGACAUAUAGACACAGACAUACAGUCAUACAGAGACAUACAGACAUAAAGAGAUAUACAGACUCUUGGGUGGCAGCAAGGACCAUAGUACACAUCAGCCCCAAUACAUACUGUAAAAAAACAGAGAAUUUUUUUAUUUUUUCCUUUUUUUCCUUUGGUUUAUACAGAGAUAUACAAAAACACAUAGAGACAUUCAGACACAGACAUAUAGAUACAUACAGACAGAAUCACACAGAGACAUACAGACACAGACAUACAGAGACAUACAUACACAGACAUAUAGUCAUACAGAGACAGAGAGAAGGCAUACAGAAUCAUACAGACAUACAACCAUACAGAGACAUACAUACACAGACAUAUAAUCAUACAGAGACAUACAGAGAAAGGCAUACAGAGACAUAUAUACAGUCAUACAGACUUACAGACAUGCAGACAUAGUCAUACAGAGACAUUCAUAGUUACAUAGUUACAUAGCUGAAAAGAGACUUGCGUCCAUCAAGUUCAGUCUUCCUCACAUUUGUUUUUUGCUGACAUUCAGACAUAAAGACCCAGGUGGUCAAACAUGUAGUCACAAUUACAUACUUACCUUUCAGCCCUAUGCAAUCAGGUCCCUGGGAAGCAUGCUGUCCAACUCUGUGAUCUGUGGAGUUCCAAUGCUGUAGCCCAGCCCCAUCUCUUGGAGUCAGUGUGCUGCAUAGGGAGCAGGGAUAUGACGUGAUUCAUAUCUUAUCCCCUCCAAAGAGCUUUUGGCAUGCACCAGAGUCGGAGGCCGGCUGGGCAGAGGUGCUGGAGCUCAGCCAUGCUACAUGAAGUGAUCAGCAGGAGAGGAGCUUCCCUCCUGCCAGUCACCGGACAUUGUGCCCCCAGGCCCGUGUACCCUAAGGUGGCUGCCUGUGGCACCUUAUUUUAGUUCCUGCCCUGUAUAUAAGUAGCAAAAAUAUGUUUAAAAAGUAAGAUCUCAGAGGGUUGCUUUUUGUUCAAUUUCAAACUUCAAAAUUUGGCAAAAUAAAAAAACCCCCACUGCUUUAAUUUUCAGAAUCCAACCUCGCUAUUGAGUUCAGUAACAAAAAUAGUAUUUGCCCUGCAAUUCCCAUUAAAUGGUUUAAUGUGAUUUCAAGAGGACACAAAAGGCACCUAGACCAUUUCAUCUCAAUGAAGUGGUCUGGGUUCCGAGCUUAUGUCAUCUUGACCCUGCACAGUAAAAAAUGGGAAGCUUUGGAUUGGCUGAGAUCAUCAAGAUUAAUAUUCUCAGUAUGGUGAGAACAGACCGCUGUGGGAAAUAAGUUAAAUAAAUCAUUUUAAACCUUUUAAAACCCUUAAGGGGGAGGGACCUAAAUAGCGAGGAGAACACUAGAGUGUUCCUUUAACACUUCACACUUCAGAGCAGCAUGCUAUGCAUACAAUAGUCCUUAAUGGCUUAAGUCCAUGUCAAUCUUUUGUGUAAUUCUCUCUAUAUUCUCUAUUUACUGCCCCCUCCUCUCUCCAUCUCCCAGUCACACAUUAUUCACCAUCGUUUUCUCUCUUAGAG
Non-coding RNA from Pelobates cultripes (western spadefoot toad), 1955 nucleotides. NCBI's taxonomy places the organism in Eukaryota, Metazoa, Chordata, Amphibia, Anura, Pelobatidae. The record is from the annotation of a GenBank genome assembly.